Molecule: transfer RNA, 85 nt
Filed under: Felis catus (domestic cat)
Lineage: Eukaryota; Metazoa; Chordata; Mammalia; Carnivora; Felidae
Rfam family: tRNA
About the family: Transfer RNA (tRNA) molecules are approximately 80 nucleotides in length. Their secondary structure includes four short double-helical elements and three loops (D, anti-codon, and T loops). Further hydrogen bonds mediate the characteristic L-shaped molecular structure. tRNAs have two regions of fundamental functional importance: the anti-codon, which is responsible for specific mRNA codon recognition, and the 3' end, to which the tRNAs corresponding amino acid is attached (by aminoacyl-tRNA synthetases). tRNAs cope with the degeneracy of the genetic code in two manners: having more than one tRNA (with a specific anti-codon) for a particular amino acid; and 'wobble' base-pairing, i.e. permitting non-standard base-pairing at the 3rd anti-codon position.
Source: Rfam by way of RNAcentral
GCCUGAGUUGCUCAGUCGGUUUAGCGUCUGACUUCGGCUCAGGUCAUAAUCUCAAAGUUCGUGGGUUUGAGCCCCACGUCAGGCU